This 253-nucleotide ribosomal RNA is filed under the name uncultured bacterium. RNAcentral describes it as "partial 16S ribosomal RNA". It matches the Rfam family "Bacterial small subunit ribosomal RNA", at positions 524 to 776 of the family's 1533-position model. The record is from RNAcentral.
UACGUAGGGUGCAAGCGUUGUCCGGAAUUAUUGGGCGUAAAGAGCUCGUAGGCGGUUUGUCGCGUCGAAUGUGAAAACCCGGGGCUCAACCCCGGGCCUGCAGUCGAUACGGGCGGACUAGAGUUCGGCAGGGGAGACUGGAAUUCCUGGUGUAGCGGUGAAAUGCGCAGAUAUCAGGAGGAACACCGGUGGCGAAGGCGGGUCUCUGGGCCGAUACUGACGCUGAGGAGCGAAAGCGUGGGGAGCGAACAGG